CGUAGGGUGCAAGCGUUAAUCGGAAUUACUGGGCGUAAAGCGUGCGCAGGCGGUUAUGCAAGACAGAUGUGAAAUCCCCGGGCUCAACCUGGGAACUGCAUUUGUGACUGCAUAGCUAGAGUACGGUAGAGGGGGAUGGAAUUCCGCGUGUAGCAGUGAAAUGCGUAGAUAUGCGGAGGAACACCGAUGGCGAAGGCAAUCCCCUGGACCUGUACUGACGCUCAUGCACGAAAGCGUGGGGAGCAAACAGGAUUAGAUACCCUGGUAGUCCACGCCCUAAACGAUGUCAACUGGUUGUUGGGAGGGUUUCUUCUCAGUAACGAAGCUAACGCGUGAAGUUGACCGCCUGGGGAGUACGGCCGCAAGGUUG
Molecule: ribosomal RNA, 370 nt
Filed under: uncultured organism
Description: bacterial SSU rRNA
Rfam family: Bacterial small subunit ribosomal RNA
Source: RNAcentral